CUGGAAGUCUUAGUGGCGCAGCUAGCGCACUAAGUUGACCGCCUGGGGAGUACGGCCGCAAGGUUAAAACUCAAAUGAAUUGACGGGGGCCCGCACAAGCGGUGGAGCAUGUGGUUUAAUUCGACGCAACGCGAAGAACCUUACCUGGCCUUGACAUGCAGAGAACUUUCCAGAGAUGGAUUGGUGCCUUCGGGAACUCUGACACAGGUGCUGCAUGGCCGUCGUCAGCUCGUGUCGUGAGAUGUUGGGUUAAGUCCCGUAACGAGCGCAACCCCUAUCCCUAGUUGCUAGCAGUUCGGCUGAGAACUCUAGGGAGACUGCCGGUGACAAACCGGAGGAAGGUGGGGAUGACGUCAGGUCAUCAUGGCCCUUACGGCCAGGGCUACACACGUGCUACAAUGGUGCGUACAGAGGGCUGCAAACCCGCGAGGGGGAGCUAAUCUCACAAAACGCAUCGUAGUCCGGAUCGGAGUCUGCAACUCGACUUCGUGAAGUCGGAAUCGCUAGUAAUCGCGAAUCAGAAUGUCGCGGUGAAUACGUUCCCGGGCCUUGUACACACCGCCCGUCACACCAUGGGAGUGGAUUGCACCAGAAGUGGUUAGUCUAACCUUCGGGAGGA
RNAcentral lists this ribosomal RNA (619 nucleotides) under uncultured bacterium. Its description in RNAcentral is "bacterial SSU rRNA". It matches the Rfam family "Bacterial small subunit ribosomal RNA", at positions 831 to 1450 of the family's 1533-position model. The record is from RNAcentral.